AUGCAUAUUCGGCCGACUUCCUCUCGGGUCCUUUCGGCCUUCUCUGAUGCAGAUUGGGCUGGUAGCCCAGAUGACAGGCGAUCCACGGGGGGUUAUGCAGUAUUCUUUGGCUCUAAUUUGAUCGCCUGGAGUGCUCGGAAACAGGCUACUGUGUCACGUAGCAGUACUGAAGCUGAGUACAAGGCUGUGGCUAAUGCUACUGCAGAGAUUAUUUGGGUGCAGUCUUUGCUUCAGGAGUUGGGUUUGUCUCAACCACAGCCUCCUAUUUUUUGGUGUGAUAACAUCGGUGCUACAUACCUUUCUGCAAAUCCAGUAUUUCAUGCCCGAACGAAACACAUUGAAGUUGACUAUCACUUUGUACGGGAACGUGUAUCACAGAAGCAACUUCAGAUCAAGUUUAUCUCGUCUAAGGAUCAACUUGCAGAUAUCUUCACUAAGCCUUUACCACUGCCACAGUUUGAGACUUGUAGGCGCAAUCUUACCCUUCUCAGUUUUUUAGAAAGUGGCUAA
Molecule: ribosomal RNA, 510 nt
Filed under: Triticum aestivum (bread wheat)
Lineage: Eukaryota; Viridiplantae; Streptophyta; Magnoliopsida; Poales; Poaceae
Description: partial small subunit ribosomal RNA
Source: RNAcentral